ACAACAGGGAUUGCCCUAGUAACGGCGAGUGAAGCGGCAACAGCUCAAAUUUGAAAUCUGGCUCUUUCAGAGUCCGAGUUGUAAUUUGCAGAGGGCGCUUUGGCUUUGGCAGCGGUCCAAGUUCCUUGGAACAGGACGUCACAGAGGGUGAGAAUCCCGUACGUGGUCGCUAGCUAUUGCCGUGUAAAGCCCCUUCGACGAGUCGAGUUGUUUGGGAAUGCAGCUCUAAAUGGGAGGUAAAUUUCUUCUAAAGCUAAAUAUUGGCCAGAGACCGAUAGCGCACAAGUAGAGUGAUCGAAAGAUGAAAAGCACUUUGGAAAGAGAGUCAAACAGCACGUGAAAUUGUUGAAAGGGAAGCGCUUGCAGCCAGACUUGCUUGCAGUUGCUCAUCUGGGCUUUUGCCCGGUGCACUCUUCUGUAGGCAGGCCAGCAUCAGUUUGGGCGGUGGGAUAAAGGUCUCUGUCAUGUACCUCUCUUCGGGGAGGCCUUAUAGGGGAGGCGACAUACCACCAGCCUGGACUGAGGUCCGCGCAUCUGCUAGGAUGCUGGCGUAAUGGCUGUAAGCGGCCCGUCUUGAAACACGGACCAAGGAGUCUAACAUCUAUGCGAGUGUUUGGGUGUCAAGCCCGAGCGCGUAAUGAAAGUGAACGGAGGUGGGAACCCGCAAGGGCGCACCAUCGACCGAUCCUGAAGUUUACGGAAGGAUUUGAGUAAGAGCAUGGCUGUUGGGACCCGAAAGAUGGUGAACUAUGCUUGAAUAGGGUGAAGCCAGAGGAAACUCUGGUGGAGGCUCGCAGCGGUUCUGACGUGCAAAUCGAUCGUCAAAUUUGGGCAUAGGGGCGAAAGACUAAUCGAAC
Molecule: ribosomal RNA, 857 nt
Filed under: Johnalcornia aberrans
Lineage: Eukaryota; Fungi; Ascomycota; Dothideomycetes; Pleosporales; Pleosporaceae
Description: eukaryotic LSU rRNA
Rfam family: Eukaryotic large subunit ribosomal RNA
Source: RNAcentral